This 2560-nucleotide ribosomal RNA is filed under the name Tethya minuta. Its description in RNAcentral is "16S". It matches the Rfam family "Bacterial large subunit ribosomal RNA". Lineage: Eukaryota; Metazoa; Porifera; Demospongiae; Tethyida; Tethyidae. The record is from RNAcentral.
AAGUAAGUAGUAAGGGAAAGAAGAUUAUAAAUUAGAAAGGAAAAAUUAGUAUAAACUAAUAGUAAAUGGAUAAUUAGGGUGUUAUAUAGGUUAGACGUAAUAAAUACGAAAAGGAGGCAAAGGAAAGAUAAGGCUAAGUUUCUAUAGAGAAAUACAAUAAAAUAAAUCUUAGGAAUUGAAACAUCUUAGUACUAAGAAGAAAAAAGAUCAAGCGAGAAUUUCGUAAGUAGUGGCGAGCGAAAGCGAAUAAAGGUGAAAGUAAUUAUUUAUGAAUUCUAAAGAGGGUAACAGCCCCGUAAUAAAUAAUAAAUUAUGGAAUAUAAAAGUAGAAUUAUUUGAAGUAAGGUGUUCCAUACAUCUAAAAUAGAAUAAUAUAACAUACCAAAAGUGGAUUAGUACUGUGAAGGAAAAUUGAAAGAGAGGGUAAGGUCUUUAAAUGAAAUAGAUUUUAAAAUUUACUAUUUACAGGCAGAUGGGUUUCAUCGUACCUUUUGAAUAAUGGGUUCAUAAGAAAAAUAUUUGGCAAACUUAAGUUAAUAAAACGUAGGUAAAGUGAAAACGAAUUUUAAUAUAAGGGUAUUAGUCAGAUAGAGCCCGAAACUAAGUGAUCUAAUUAUGGGCAGUUUGAAACUUUCUUAAUUGGAAGUAGAGGAACGAACCGGUAAUUGUAGCAAAAAUUUCGGAUGACCUGUGGUUAGGGGUAAAAAGCCAAUCGAACUUAGAGAUAGCUGGUUUUCUGCGAAAACUAUUUAAGUAGUGCGUCAUUAAGUGUUAUUUAUAUAUGGUAAAGCACUGAAGGGGCUUAUCUAUAGGGUGUGUUUAAUCAAACUAUGAAAGUAUAAAAAGGAAAAUGAUAGACAGACAAUGGGCGAGAAGGUUCAUUGUCAAGAAGGAAACAACCUAGAUCAGAAGUUAAGGUUAUUAAGUAGGGCUAAGUGUUAAAGGGGGUUAUUUAAUAAAGACAGUGAGAAAGUAGGCUUGGAGCCAGCCAUCUUUAAAAGAUUACGUAAUAGUUCACUCAAUAAAUUAAUAAUUCUUAAAGAUUAUGGUGGCUUAAGUAAAUUGAUUACCGAAACUCUGAAUAUAAAAUAAUGGUAAAUUAUUUGAUGGUAUGGUAGCAGAACGUUUAGUAAUGGAUAAAAAUUAUGUUGCGAAAGCAUAUCUGAAGUGAUAAUGUGAAUAUGAGUAAAAAACAGUGUGAGAAUCAUUGCUCACGGCUUAAGGUUUCCAAUAAGAGGAUGUUCCGAAUUGGGUUAUACAGUUUUUAAGGUAAUUGUAUUAAUAAAAGAAAAAAUAGUAAGUAAAAGAAAUUAUUUUAUUAGACUGUACUAAAACUAACACAAGUGGGCUAUAAGUGAUGGUAUAAUUUAUCUUAAGGAAUUCGGCAAAAUAGCUUUGUAAGUUCGCAAGAAAAGGUGCUAAUUAUUUAAUUAGUAGAUAUGAUAAAUAAUUAGUCUCAGUAAAGAGGGGGUGUCGACUGUUUACCAAAAACAUAGCUUUCAGCAAAAAGCCUUUGGUUUGAAGUAUUGAAGGUGAGGCCUGCCCAAUGAUUGUAUCUAAAUCCAAAGAAUAAGAUAAGUUGUUUGGUUAAGGGCAAUUGAAUGGCCGCGGUAAAUCUGACCGUGAUAAUGUAGCGCAAUCAAUAGCCAAUUAAUUGUUGGCAAGUAUGAAUGGCGUCACGAAUGCCCUACUGUCUCAAGAUAAAAACCAAUGAAAUUGAAAUCGUAGUGAAGAUGCUAUGUUCAAAUUAUAAGACGAGAAGACCCCAUUGAGCUUUACUGGAGGCUUAUAUUGUUUUUUUAAAAUUAAUAUUUAGAUUAUGUGGGUAUAAUAAAAUUGAAUUUAUAUGAAAAACCACUUAUUAAUUAAAGAAAAAAACUAAUUAUAGAGGAGAGUAUAAGUUGGACAGUUUAGUUGGGGCGACUGCCUUCUAAAGAGUAACGAAGGUGUACAUAAGGUAAAUAAUAUAAUAGUAUAAAGUAAGAAGCCUGACAGUAAGAAGGAUUUUCAAGCUGACACAAAUAAAGAUAUUAAUUAAAUUUUGUGGGUUAUAAUGACCCGUUAGUUAAGAAUGGAAUUGCUAACGAUUAACGAAUAAAAGUUACCAUGGGGAUAACAGCGUAAUAUUGUUUGAGAGUUCUUAUCGAUGACAAUGUUUGCGACCUCGAUGUUGAAUUGUGAUAUCCUGGGGGUGUAGCCGUUCCCAAGGGUUGGACUGUUCGUCCAUUAAAAUCAUACAUGAUUUGAGUUCAGACCGGCGUAAGCCAGGUCGGUUUCUAUCUAUAAUUUGUUUAGGAAACAUAAGAUAUAACUAUAUUCUAGUACGAAAGGAUCGAAUGAUAGUUGUCCGCUGGUGUACCAAUUACAAAAAAUGUUGUUGGGUGGCUAUGAUAAAAUUUAAUAAAUUUUUAAUCUUUGAAUGCAUCUUAAAGGAGAAAAAAAAUAUUAUUCUGUGUUUCUGGGGAUAAAGGUUGUUUUAGAAUAAAACGUUGAUAGGGUUUAGAUGGUAAGUUUAAAAUUACUAAAAAGAGUCUUUAUACUAAUUUUUCAAAUUUAUUGG